UAUUCAGAUUACUACCCUGAACACUCUUGAUCUUGUCAGAUCUCAGAAGCUAAGCAGAGUCAGGCCUGGUUAGUACUUGGAAGGGAGGCCUAUGGUAAUUUAAAAUGGAAUAUAAAUAU
This 119-nucleotide ribosomal RNA is filed under the name Octodon degus (degu). The record is from RNAcentral. Lineage: Eukaryota; Metazoa; Chordata; Mammalia; Rodentia; Octodontidae.